GACGAACGCUGGCGGCGUGCUUAACACAUGCAAGUCGAACGGAAAGGCCCUGCUUUUGUGGGGUGCUCGAGUGGCGAACGGGUGAGUAACACGUGAGUAACCUACCCUUGACUUUGGGAUAACUUCGGGAAACUGGGGCUAAUACCGGAUAGGAGCUCCUGCUGCAUGGUGGGGGUUGGAAAGUUUCGGCGGUUGGGGAUGGACUCGCGGCUUAUCAGCUUGUUGGUGGGGUAGUGGCUUACCAAGGCUUUGACGGGUAGCCGGCCUGAGAGGGUGACCGGCCACAUUGGGACUGAGAUACGGCCCAGACUCCUACGGGAGGCAGCAGUGGGGAAUAUUGCACAAUGGGCGGAAGCCUGAUGCAGCAACGCCGCGUGCGGGAUGACGGCCUUCGGGUUGUAAACCGCUUUCGCCUGUGACGAAGCGUGAGUGACGGUAAUGGGUAAAGAAGCACCGGCUAACUACGUG
Molecule: ribosomal RNA, 468 nt
Filed under: uncultured bacterium
Lineage: Bacteria
Description: partial 16S ribosomal RNA
Rfam family: Bacterial small subunit ribosomal RNA
Source: RNAcentral